CCUCCUCUCUCUCCCCCCCCCCGUCCCCCCUCCCCCUUAGCCAGUGGAUUGGGGCUUCAGAGCCGGGGCCAGAGAGACAGUGUGAGCCCAGGCGCUCAGCCUGCAGCAGCUGACGCGGAGGCGCCUCUGGAGGGGGGUUGAGGGGGGGGCGCUCCUUCUGCAUGGAUUACAGGGCUCGGAGACCCAGCUGGAGGAACCCAGAUUUAUUUUGGGACCUUUCAGCACCUGGGAGCUAAUCCAAGGCGUACUUUGUUAGCAUUUGUGUUUUUAAAGAAGUGUUUCAGAAAACGACUUGCUGGACACCUAAGCACUGAGUUAUAGAAAAAUAGGAUGCUUGAAAUGAGCAUUCCACCCGUGUAACAGCCAGUUUCUCUAGCAGGCACGUUUCCCAUUUACAAUAGAUUCUAUUUUGUCUGUAACCGCAAAGCUGCAUAUAUAUGGUGUUUGUCACAGUUUAGAAAACGCAAGACUUGUAUUCACACAGAGAAUAACGUGUUAUGUGUACAUUAAAAGGAAGAAAUCUUUAUGUGAGCUCUGUGGGCUUUUAGUUAUAUUUGUUUGUGAGAAUCAUCGGGUACUUUGACUUGAUUUAUGAGAACCUUUGCAAUAAAGAAUUUAAAUGUGAUUUUUUUCUCUCUAAUAAAUAUAUUAAAUUACCAAAAGGA
Molecule: long non-coding RNA, 665 nt
Organism: Mauremys mutica (yellowpond turtle)
Lineage: Eukaryota; Metazoa; Chordata; Testudines; Geoemydidae
Exons: 2
Source: RefSeq, a predicted model, not a curated record